GAGCAGUUCAGCCUCCUGGCACAGGAACUCCAGGCUUUCCGCCUGCACCCGGGCCCCUUGGAUCUGCUCACAUCUGCCCUGGACUGUGGGAGCCUUGGAGACUGCCCACCACCCCCCUGCUGCUGCUCCAUUCCCCAGCCUUGCCGGGGGUCUGGCCCCAAAGGAAGCCCGGCUAUGGAGGGCCUGGUCCCCAUAUCCAAG
RNAcentral lists this long non-coding RNA (201 nucleotides) under Homo sapiens (human). RNAcentral's name for it is "HSALNT0243103". Lineage: Eukaryota; Metazoa; Chordata; Mammalia; Primates; Hominidae. The record is from RNAcentral.